UUGCCUCCCGUCAGAAGAGCCGCGUCGCGCCCGGAAGGAAGACCGAAGACGAGAGGUGGCGAGUCAAACAGUGGCAGGACCCAGAAACCCGCCUGCCCUGUUCCCGCACGGUUCCUUCCCUAGAGCCCAGGGACUGUAACUCCGUCUGUCUUGGCCUUGUUUUGUGAGACGAGGCCAAGGAGGAGUUGGGUAGUAGUCUGUCGUGUUGUACUGAUUGGACAUAGUAUUAAGAUCUGUGGAACGUUUGAGAGACUGAUGCUAGGGUAUACACCCAGCAGUGGCACUCACUGGACCUUUCCACACUCCAGUUUGCCUCAGUUGUCUGCUGCUUUGGAGUCAUGGUAAAGAUGAAAUUUUAUGUGUGUGUUUAUAGUUUGUAUUGUAUGCAUUUUGUGUGUGUGUGUGUGUAUAUGAUUACUUUUGAUGACCAAAGCAACAUUUAGGCAUUAUUAUUUCUUAUUCUCAAAAUGUAGAAGUAGUGUCUGAAAAGAAUAUAGUUAAUAUUUUAAAAUAGAGUUUUAAUAAACAUCCUAACUGGACUUGUCACUCAGCCCUUCCUACCCUGAUUAAAAGGAGCAUUCUAUAGCUUGCUUUCCAUCAUGAAAGAUUUUUCCUAUUUGUAGUUAUGUCUUUAAAUUUGAAAAUAAGAGAAGUAAAAUCAAGAGACUAAAAGUAGACAGUAAAACCCUUCUCGAAGUGACUGCAUGUGUUUUUAGCCCUCAGUAAAAGGCAUCAUUUGUGGACUGUAUCCACAUCCUCACAAAGCUCUCACUUGGAUUCAUGCUCUGGAAAUCCGAUUUUGAUGGUAAGACUGGCCUCCACCAGAUCCCAUGUAGAUCCCAGCCCGUGAUUAUAUCAUCCAAAGUUAAAACAGAAAGUUAACUCUUAGCUCUGCCAUGCCAAAUUCAGAUAUUUUGCUGUGCCUCAUAGAAUACAUUCUGAGCUUCUCUGAAUAACCAACCAACUAUAAAGGUGCCACACAUUUGUCUGUACUAUUAUUAAACUGACUUCUUCCAAAUUGUUUAUUGAGGCAGCAAGAUUCUUGUGUUAUACUUCAUGCAGAGUUUUUUCCCCCUAAAAAUUGCUUCCUUAUAACACUGCAUUCAUAUUUACAGUUAAUCCUCACCAAAGGGUUGAUUUUCACCAUUACCUGUUAAGAGUCUUUUACUACACAGGUUUUUCAUUCAGCAUGAACAAGAGUAAUAGAGACAUCAAAAACCUUUGUUUUCUUCUUCCAUAUUCAAAACGUGUGAAGAUUUCUGUUGGGAGGAAACGCCAAGUACGAGAGUGUGUGCCUGGAACAUUCUCCACUGGAGUUCCUUAUACUUAAAUUGGUUGAAGGGGGUUUGUAUUGUAAUGAAUGCCCUAAUGUAAUAUAUGUUGAAACAAUUCACAUAAUUGAAAUGGAGUAAAGUAAGCUGAUGACACCUUAUUUUAUGCA
Odocoileus virginianus texanus is the source of this 1441-nucleotide non-coding RNA. NCBI's taxonomy places the organism in Eukaryota, Metazoa, Chordata, Mammalia, Artiodactyla, Cervidae. The record is from RefSeq and is a predicted model, not a curated record.